RNAcentral lists this ribosomal RNA (503 nucleotides) under uncultured bacterium. Its description in RNAcentral is "partial 16S ribosomal RNA". It matches the Rfam family "Bacterial small subunit ribosomal RNA", at positions 28 to 523 of the family's 1533-position model. The record is from RNAcentral.
GAUGAACGCUGGCGGCGUGCUUAACACAUGCAAGUCGAACGGGAUCCCUGGCGGCCUGGCUGUCGGGGUGAGAGUGGCGAACGGGUGAGUAAUGCGUGACCAACCUGCCCUGUGCACCGGAAUAGCUCCUGGAAACGGGUGGUAAUACCGGAUGCUCCGCUCCACCGCAUGGUGGGGUGGGAAAUGCUUUUUUGCGGCAUGGGCUGGGGUCGCGCCCUAUCAGCUUGUUGGCGGGGUGAUGGCCCACCAAGGCGUUGACGGGUAGCCGGCCUGAGAGGGUGACCGGCCACAUUGGGACUGAGAUACGGCCCAGACUCCUACGGGAGGCAGCAGUGGGGAAUAUUGCACAAUGGGCGCAAGCCUGAUGCAGCGACGCCGCGUGCGGGAUGGAGGCCUUCGGGUUGUAAACCGCUUUUGUUCAAGGGCAAGGCACGGUCUUUGGGCCGUGUUGAGUGGAUUGUUCGAAUAAGCACCGGCUAACUACGUGCCAGCCGCCGCAGUAA